AGGUGGGAGGAUGACUUGAGCCCAGGAGUUGGAGGUUGCAGUGAGCUGUGAUGACGCCACUGCACUCUAGCCAGGGCAAAAGAGUUGAGAUCCUGUUUC
RNAcentral lists this microRNA precursor (99 nucleotides) under Otolemur garnettii (small-eared galago). RNAcentral's name for it is "miRNA (ENSOGAG00000028464.1)". The record is from RNAcentral. Lineage: Eukaryota; Metazoa; Chordata; Mammalia; Primates; Galagidae.